GGAGGCAAGAAGAAGUGAGGAAAACCCUACAGAGUUUGCUGUAAUUCUGGACUGCAAAUCCCAUAUACCUCAGGGGCAGCAGGAAGAGGAAGUGAACACACAGCCAGAGAGUUGUGCUCUAGCACCUCCUGGCUUCUGACCCAAGCCACCAUAGGCAUGUGGCUGCAUUUCCUGAAACAAAGGAACAAUAAUACAUCUCCACACAAAAUCUGCAUACAGAAUAUAUCAACAAAAGGAUAUUUCUGAAAACGUUGAGUAUGAAAAAAGCAUGUUAUAAUGGGAACCUUUGCAACCUUAACAAUACAAAUCUGUAAAUCAAAACCAGCCUGUCAGAUGUAUUCCAAACUGUCCUCAAGAAAUUAUCUUUUGGCUUAAAUUCAAACAAGUGAAAUUCAGGACAAAAGGAAGAUAUUUGAGAAGGUUGGAUAGAAAACGGAAGAUUUGAACAGAACCAUCUUUCAAUAAAAUCUAUGAAGGCAUUCUUGUAACACCAUAAUUUGAUCACCUACCCAUCUAUCUUUGGAAUAAUCUUAACAAAUUGAAUGAAUAAUUAGUGUCAAUGAAUCACAAAUACCCUUAAGUAGGAAUUCUUACUCAGUUCUAAAUAUAUUACCAAUCAUGACACAUGACAGAUGUGUAUUACUGUUAAGUUUGCUCAAAUGAGAUCCAACACUUACUAAUCAUUAAGCUGUAACACUUAGUCACUCAAGUCCUGCCUUCCAGUCAAGAUUGAAGUACAUUUACAGGAUGCUGGGAAGAAGCCUGUGCUCAUCACUACCAUUGUACUCAAUACAGGAAUAAAACAAGACUUAUGCCCAGUGCCUUAGUCUUCAAGACACUAUAUUCUUGACUUGAAUCUGAAAAAAAUGCAAAGCUACCUUUCAAAGGGGUGCAUGGCAUCAUCCAAAAGGAGAGUUCCUAACACUAAACUCACUCCAAUGGAAUUCUGUUAUAUUCUGUACAUGGAACCAGUGUAGAAAUCACAGCAUUAUCUUAGUUUUAAAUCUGAAAUGACAAUUUUAUAAAGAAAUAAAAAUAUAAUUGAUAUUCAAGCUUAUUUACCUGAGAC
This is a long non-coding RNA of Alligator mississippiensis (American alligator), 1069 nucleotides long. RefSeq lists it as uncharacterized. NCBI's taxonomy places the organism in Eukaryota, Metazoa, Chordata, Crocodylia, Alligatoridae. The record is from RefSeq and is a predicted model, not a curated record. The transcript is spliced from 3 exons.